RNAcentral lists this unclassified non-coding RNA (403 nucleotides) under soil metagenome. RNAcentral describes it as "partial contains 5.8S ribosomal RNA, internal transcribed spacer 2, and large subunit ribosomal RNA". The stretch from base 2 to 121 matches the Rfam family "5.8S ribosomal RNA", at positions 35 to 154 of the family's 154-position model. The record is from RNAcentral.
GGAUGAAGAACGUAGCGAAAUGCGAUAAGUAAUGUGAAUUGCAGAAUUCAGUGAAUCAUCGAAUCUUUGAACGCACCUUGCGCUCCUUGGUAUUCCGAGGAGCAUGCCUGUUUGAGUGUCAUGAAAUUACUCAACCUUGCUGGCUUUUGUAAAGUUAAGUUAGGCUUGGAUUAUGGAAGUGUGCAGGCUUUCUGAAGUCAGCUCUUCUGAAAUAUAUUAGCAAAAUUGUUGCUGGCUCAUCAUUAGUAUGAUAAUUAUCUAUACUAUCAACUGAGUUUGGUAUCUUCUUAUUGGAGAAAAUUUUGCUUCUAAUUGUCUUCUUUUUAUAAGAAACAUUUGAUAAUUUUGACCUCAAAUCAGGUAGGACUACCCGCUGAACUUAAGCAUAUCAAUAAGCGGAGGA